Molecule: long non-coding RNA, 1716 nt
Organism: Bubalus bubalis (water buffalo)
Lineage: Eukaryota; Metazoa; Chordata; Mammalia; Artiodactyla; Bovidae
Exons: 2
Source: RefSeq, a predicted model, not a curated record
UCUCUCUUUUACCUUGUCCAGACUAGUUUCAAGGAAUUUGGGGAGGUGGGUUUGAGCACGUACACUUAAGGUAUGUAAGAUUUUCACAAAAACUGGUUGGGGUCCUUGGCUAAGAGGAGAUUCUGCCUUGGGCCCGCUGGUGUAAUAAACUGCACUCCACCAUUUGCAUUGUCCUUCUGAGUUAGUUUGUUUCCCGGAACGCGUGGCUACAACAUUUGGUGCAUUGGCCGGGAAACUCCUCACUUUGAGGAGACAAGUCCCAUUUGGGACUACUCUGAGGCCUUGCAGCUUGAAUCUUCUAGAGGGGGGAAGACGCCUCACCCUUCUGGAAGGAUUCUGGGUCUCAACGCCUGGACCUUUCACGUUAGCAGGUAGUGGACGGCAGCAGGGAAACUGAGCACUCAGGUGAGGGGGAACCCACCCAGCAGGGUGGAAGAGGGGGCCUGAUCACCCCCCUGGGAGGGACUAGAUGGAGCACGGACCCACAGGGGCCUGGAAUAGGCAGAGGGCAAUUGCUUGGUACACAGGUCCACGAGUGUUGCUAGGGCUUAGGAAGGGAAUUUGCAAAGGUAAUUUAGGAGGUGUGUCCACGCCAUCUCAGGGAAAAUUAUUACCAGCAAUAGCCAGGGGAUUUUUAGAAUAGGAAACUUUUCCUUGUAUGCUCAUUUUCUGCCCUCCCGCAGGAGAUGUCCCAUCUGCUGUGAAAUUCUUGACCCCCUCGGAAUUGUCAGGCUAGAAGGAGGGGGAUACAUAAGUGAGCAUGAAUUGGCUUUUCCGGAGACAGCCUGGGACAUGGGAUAUUUAACCCAUCUAUGUUUUCAUCCGCACCUGAUCAAGCCCACAAAGGCAGAACAGACUUUAAGGGAGAAAUAGUCUUGGACCACGUGGUGUUCUGGUUCGGCCUUGCUGACUGGCAGGUGAAGACACACUGAUCCCCCUACCCACUCUGGGAUCUGGCAGGAUUUGGACAAGGAUGACCUACCCCUCCCCCAUACUGGACGCACCCACCGGCCCUGUGCUCCACCAGGACCGGAGGCCACCUUAAUGCCCAAUCCAGGGCCAGGUGAAGUUCCUGCAGCAGCCACGGCUCCUCCACCAGCUCUCCUGGAGGUCGUAGAGCCUCCACCUCAGUGGGCUCCGAUCCUGGUGGCAGAAGCCUCUGGCCAACACUUCCAGGAUCCGGCUCCAGCCGAGCCGCCCAAGUUAUACCCUCCUCUCCCGUUAAAGUUGCGGGUAUUGCCCCGUGGAUCCAUCACACGAGGCUGAAGAGAACACACCACGCAGACCCAAAAACGCUGAGUGGACUGCACAGAGGGACCCCGCUGACCCUCGAAAGACUAAGACCAUCCUUAAUAAGAAGGAAAAAAAAGAUCCUGGACGAGCCCCUUCAGGAUGAAGCCACACAAUCAACUCCUGCUGCUUGGCCUCAUCAACGAGCACAUUCCUACACCAACUUCCACAAUACCUCCACUGUUGAGUGGGGUUAUGCCUCUGUCUGUGAUGGAUGGACUUCCCUGGUGGCUGUCACCGCUCCGCCAAGGAGAUUUUAAACCACUCUGCUCUUCUCUGGGACCCAAUCAUAACCUCUCCUUGCUCUCUGGGUGUAAGCCAGACCUACAGUCAAUAGACUCGGGUCAUAGGGUUACAUUUGAUAUAAAUGCCAGUGUAACGAAAGCCUAACCUACAACAACCCCUGGUAAAUCUACCAUAUUUACA